Molecule: ribosomal RNA, 234 nt
Filed under: uncultured bacterium
Lineage: Bacteria
Description: partial 16S ribosomal RNA
Rfam family: Bacterial small subunit ribosomal RNA
Source: RNAcentral
GAUCCUGGCUCAGGAUGAACGCUAGCUACAGGCUUAACACAUGCAAGUCGAGGGGAAACGAUAUUGGAAGCUUGUCUUCCGAUAGGCGUCGACCGGCGCACGGGUGAGUAACGCGUAUCCAACCUGCCCACCACUUGGGGAUAACCUUGCGAAAGUAAGACUAAUACCCAAUGAUAUCUCUAGAAGACAUCUGAAAGAGAUUAAAAGAUUCAUCGGUGAUGGAUGGGGAUGCGU